This 337-nucleotide ribosomal RNA is filed under the name uncultured bacterium. Its description in RNAcentral is "bacterial SSU rRNA". It matches the Rfam family "Bacterial small subunit ribosomal RNA", at positions 8 to 334 of the family's 1533-position model. The record is from RNAcentral.
AGAGUUUGAUCAUGGCUCAGGAUGAACGCUAGCUACAGGCUUAACACAUGCAAGUCGAGGGGAAACGAUAUUGGAAGCUUGCUUCCGAUAGGCGUCGACCGGCGCACGGGUGAGUAACGCGUAUCCAACCUGCCCACCACUUGGGGAUAACCUUGCGAAAGUAAGACUAAUACCCAAUGACGUCUCUAGAAGACAUCUGAAAGGGAUUAAAGAUUUAUCGGUGAUGGAUGGGGAUGCGUCUGAUUAGCUUGUUGGCGGGGUAACGGCCCACCAAGGCGACGAUCAGUAGGGGUUCUGAGAGGAAGGUCCCCCACAUUGGAACUGAGACACGGUCCAA